RNAcentral lists this ribosomal RNA (465 nucleotides) under uncultured bacterium. Its description in RNAcentral is "partial 16S ribosomal RNA". It matches the Rfam family "Bacterial small subunit ribosomal RNA", at positions 28 to 507 of the family's 1533-position model. The record is from RNAcentral.
GACGAACGCUGGCGGCGUGCUUAACACAUGCCAGUCGUACGGUAAGGCCCUUUCGGGGGUACACGAGUGGCGAACGGGUGAGUAACACGUGAGUAACCUGCCCACAACUUUGGGAUAACGCUAGGAAACUGGUGCUAAUACUGGAUAUGUGCUCCUGCUGCAUGGGGGGGGUUGGAAAGCUCCGGCGGUUGUGGAUGGACUCGCGGCCUAUCAGCUUGUUGGUGGGGUAGUGGCCUACCAAGGCGGCGACGGGUAGCCGGCCUGAGAGGGUGACCGGCCACAUUGGGACUGAGAUACGGCCCAGACUCCGACGGGAGGCAGCAGUGGGGAAUAUUGCACAAUGGGCGCAAGCCUGAUGCAGCAACGCCGCGUGCGGGAUGACGGCCUUCGGGUUGUAAACCGCUUUCAGCAGGGACGAAGCUUUUUGUGACGGUACCUGCAGAAGAAGCACCGGCUAACUACGUG